RNAcentral lists this ribosomal RNA (382 nucleotides) under uncultured bacterium. Its description in RNAcentral is "bacterial SSU rRNA". It matches the Rfam family "Bacterial small subunit ribosomal RNA", at positions 30 to 416 of the family's 1533-position model. The record is from RNAcentral.
AUUGAACGCUGGCGGAAUGCUUUACACAUGCAAGUCGAACGGCAGCACGGGGCAACCUGGUGGCGAGUGGCGAACGGGUGAGUAAUACAUCGGAACGUGCCCAAUCGUGGGGAUAACGUAGCGAAGUUACGCUAAUACCGCAUACGAUCUACGGAUGAAAGCGGGGGAUCGCAAGACCUCGCGCGAAUGGAGCGGCCGAUGUCAGAUUAGGUAGUUGGUGGGGUAAAGGCUCACCAAGCCAACGAUCUGUAGCUGGUCUGAGAGGACGACCAGCCACACUGGAACUGAGACACGGUCCAGACUCCUACGGGAGGCAGCAGUGGGGAAUUUUGGACAAUGGGCGCAAGCCUGAUCCAGCCAUUCCGCGUGCAGGAUGAAGGCC